This 20-nucleotide unclassified non-coding RNA is filed under the name Mus musculus (house mouse). Its description in RNAcentral is "oocyte_clustered_small_RNA7028". Lineage: Eukaryota; Metazoa; Chordata; Mammalia; Rodentia; Muridae. The record is from RNAcentral.
AGACCAGCCUCUAUGUUACC